GAUGAACGCUGGCGGCGUGCCUAAUACAUGCCAGUCGAGCGAACGGACGAGAAGCUUGCUUCUCUGAUGUUAGCGGCGGACGGGUGAGUAACACGUGGAUAACCUACCUAUAAGACUGGGAUAACUUCGGGAAACCGUAGCUAAUACCGGAUAAUAUUUUGAACCGCAUGGUUCAAAAGUGAAAGACGGUCUUGCUGUCACUUAUAGAUGGAUCCGCGCUGCAUUAGCUAGUUGGUAAGGUAACGGCUUACCAAGGCAACGAUGCAUAGCCGACCUGAGAGGGUGAUCGGCCACACUGGAACUGAGACACGGUCCAGACUCCUACGGGAGGCAGCAGUAGGGAAUCCUCCGCAAUGGGCGAAAGCCUGACGGAGCAACGCCGCGUGAGUGAUGAAGGUCUUCGGAUCGUAAAACUCUGUUAUUAGGGAAGAACAUAUGUGUAAGUAACUGUGCACAUCUUGACGGUACCUAAUCAGAAAGCCACGGCUAACUACGUG
This 497-nucleotide ribosomal RNA is filed under the name uncultured bacterium. Its description in RNAcentral is "partial 16S ribosomal RNA". It matches the Rfam family "Bacterial small subunit ribosomal RNA", at positions 28 to 507 of the family's 1533-position model. The record is from RNAcentral.